RNAcentral lists this ribosomal RNA (515 nucleotides) under Cortinarius iodes. Its description in RNAcentral is "mitochondrial SSU rRNA". It matches the Rfam family "Bacterial small subunit ribosomal RNA", at positions 421 to 910 of the family's 1533-position model. Lineage: Eukaryota; Fungi; Basidiomycota; Agaricomycetes; Agaricales; Cortinariaceae. The record is from RNAcentral.
AUGCUUAAAGCUAUUGUGUGAUAAGGUAAGGGAAAAAACUGAUGUUACCUUACUAAAAGUGUUGUCCAAACUGGUGCCAAACACUCGGUAAGACCAGAAACGCAAACGUUAAUCGUCCUAAUCAGGCGUAAAGGGUUCGUAGCUGCUUUUAAAAUUUUUAUUUAAAUACUCUUAUUUUGUUUUAUUGUAUUGCUUUUAACAAUAACAAUAAGAAAAUAUAAAAUAAGUUAAAUAAAAUAUAAUAAAGCUAGAAUCAAUUUAGGAUAUGAAAAAUGCUUAGUGUAGGGAUGGUAUCCGCAGAUAUUAAGUGGAAUACUAAUGGCGAAAGCUUSUAUUUGUUAAUGAUUGACGCUGAGGAACGAAGGGAGAAUAGGAAAUGGAUUUGGUACCCAGAUACCUCUUACUGUCAACGAUGAAUGGUAGUUAGUCAGUUUUAAAACAAAUUGGUAACGAUGUUAACGCGAUAACCAUUUCCGCCUUGCGAGUACGGUUGCAAAACUGAAACCAAAAAAAUU